GAUGAACGCUGGCGGCGUGCCUAACACAUGCAAGUCGAGCGAAGCGCUUAAAUUAGAUUUCUUCGGAAUGACGAUUUUUGUGACUGAGCGGCGGACGGGUGAGUAACGCGUGGGUAACCUGCCUCAUACAGGGGGAUAACAGUUAGAAAUGACUGCUAAUACCGCAUAAGACCCCAGCUUCGCAUGAAGCGGUGGUAAAAACUCCGGUGGUAUGAGAUGGACCCGCGUCUGAUUAGCUAGUUGGUAAGGUAACGACUUACCAAGGCGACGAUCAGUAGCCGACCUGAGAGGGUGACCGGCCACAUUGGGACUGAGACACGGCCCAGACUCCUACGGGAGGCAGCAGUGGGGAAUAUUGCACAAUGGGGGAAACCCUGAUGCAGCGACGCCGCGUGAAGGAUGAAGUAUUUCGGUAUGUAAACUUCUAUCAGCAGGGAAGAAAGUGACGGUACCUGACUAAGAAGCCCCGGCUAACUACGUG
Molecule: ribosomal RNA, 481 nt
Filed under: uncultured bacterium
Lineage: Bacteria
Description: partial 16S ribosomal RNA
Rfam family: Bacterial small subunit ribosomal RNA
Source: RNAcentral